UGGGGAAUAUUGCACAAUGGGCGCAAGCCUGAUGCAGCCAUGCCGCGUGUAUGAAGAAGGCCUUCGGGUUGUAAAGUACUUUCAGCGGGGAGGAAGGGAGUAAAGUUAAUACCUUUGCUCAUUGACGUUACCCGCAGAAGAAGCACCGGCUAACUCCGUGCCAGCAGCCGCGGUAAUACGGAGGGUGCAAGCGUUAAUCGGAAUUACUGGGCGUAAAGCGCACGCAGGCGGUUUGUUAAGUCAGAUGUGAAAUCCCCGGGCUCAACCUGGGAACUGGAUCUGAUACUGGCAAGCUUGAGUCUCGUAGAGGGGGGUAGAAUUCCAGGUGUAGCGGUGAAAUGCGUAGAGAUCUGGAGGAAUACCGGUGGCGAAGGCGGCCCCCUGGACGAAGACUGACGCUCAGGUGCGAAAGCGUGGGGAGCAAACAGG
Molecule: ribosomal RNA, 429 nt
Filed under: Chloroflexota bacterium
Lineage: Bacteria; Bacillati; Chloroflexota
Description: Chloroflexi bacterium partial 16S ribosomal RNA
Rfam family: Bacterial small subunit ribosomal RNA
Source: RNAcentral